Molecule: long non-coding RNA, 889 nt
Organism: Rhincodon typus (whale shark)
Lineage: Eukaryota; Metazoa; Chordata; Chondrichthyes; Orectolobiformes; Rhincodontidae
Exons: 5
Source: RefSeq, a predicted model, not a curated record
AUUCCAGUGUGCCACUACCUCUGCUGGGUCUGUCUUGCCAGUGGGAAAGGACAUAUCCAGGGACGGUGCUGGUGGCGUUUGGAACAUUGUCAGAUAUGAUUCUGUUGCUGGGUUCCAUUGUGAUCCUUGUGGACUAUUUCUACACGGAUAUCAUUUUUAGCAGAGACAUCGCCUUUACCAUCUGAAAAACAACCAUAGCACAGAAAUCAAACUUCUCCUCCACUGGACAGUCAUAUUUUGGAAUCAAUGAGCUGUCAAGCACUGCGAAGGACGUGGAAUGCAGAUUACAUUAUCGGGUAAAAUCUGUGGAGCUGAGGGAAAAGCAGAAAAGGAGAAAAAUCACCUUCACCUCUCUCUUUUAUACCUACUGCAAAUCUCAUUCAUAGCACAGACUCUUACGGAGUGAAACUGAAUUUUGUUCAAAGGGGCUCCUUUCCCACAUUCUGUAACCUACCUGUUGGCAGUUGCAGUUAGCUAGUAAUAAGAAUAUACAGAUCCUUCUGUGUUGACUUAAUACAGCAUUUGGACUCACACAGAAGCAGGAUUGGAAUACUUCAACAAAGUCCUCAAAAAUUAUCAACCGACCAUUAAACCUAAGACCACAGAAUACAAGCCACUUACUUCUCUGGGAGCGCGAGCAGCAAAUAACCGUGAUGGUUGCCAAGACGACAAUGAAAGCCACUCCAGCACCAACUGCUACGCCAAUGACGACAGCCAGUGAGAGCGCCUCUGUGGGGAAAAAGCACAGGAUGCAUCAGAAUGAGCAAUGUGACGGUAACAGAAGACUGUCAAAGUUAUUGAUGUCCUGUGAAAUGCGUACGAUGGGGACAGGAAGUACAUUCAAACAUCUGUCCACGAAUGCAUGGCUGCUCUAUUAGUUAAGUAUGAA